RNAcentral lists this ribosomal RNA (619 nucleotides) under uncultured bacterium. RNAcentral's name for it is "bacterial SSU rRNA". It matches the Rfam family "Bacterial small subunit ribosomal RNA", at positions 253 to 863 of the family's 1533-position model. The record is from RNAcentral.
UUCGAUUAAGGCCUACCAAGGCUACGAUCUGUAGCGGGUCUGAGAGGAUGAUCCGCCACACUGGAACUGAGACACGGUCCAGACUCCUACGGGAGGCAGCAGUGGGGAAUUUUGGACAAUGGGGGCAACCCUGAUCCAGCCAUGCCGCGUGAGUGAAGAAGGCCUUCGGGUUGUAAAGCUCUUUCGGCCGGGAAGAAAUCGCAUAGGCUAAUACCCUGUGUGGAUGACGGUACCGGAAUAAGAAGCACCGGCUAACUACGUGCCAGCAGCCGCGGUAAUACGUAGGGUGCGAGCGUUAAUCGGAAUUACUGGGCGUAAAGCGUGCGCAGGCGGUUUAGUAAGACAGGCGUGAAAUCCCCGGGCUCAACCUGGGAACUGCGCUUGUGACUGCUAAGCUAGAGUACGGCAGAGGGGGGUGGAAUUCCACGUGUAGCAGUGAAAUGCGUAGAGAUGUGGAGGAACACCGAUGGCGAAGGCAGCCCCCUGGGCCGAUACUGACGCUCAUGCACGAAAGCGUGGGUAGCAAACAGGAUUAGAUACCCUGGUAGUCCACGCCCUAAACGAUGUCAACUAGGUGUUGGGAGGGUAAAACCAUUUAGUACCGGAGCUAACGCGUGAA